AUCCCAUGAUAAGGACACUUAAGAAGUAACUCAUUGAAUCAUUCUCAAGCCUCAUACAAAGACUCGUCAUCCAAUUGUUGGAAAGUUGUGAUAUCGUUCCUUAACUU
RNAcentral lists this small nucleolar RNA (107 nucleotides) under Gossypium hirsutum (cotton). RNAcentral describes it as "Plant small nucleolar RNA R71". It matches the Rfam family "Plant small nucleolar RNA R71". Rfam says of the family: R71 is a member of the C/D box family of snoRNAs containing the C (UGAUGA) and D (CUGA) box motifs. Multiple nearly identical copies of this snoRNA have been identified in Arabidopsis, and it is thought to function as a 2'-O-ribose methylation guide for 18S ribosomal RNA. The record is from Rfam by way of RNAcentral. Lineage: Eukaryota; Viridiplantae; Streptophyta; Magnoliopsida; Malvales; Malvaceae.